GAUGAACGCUGGCGGCGUGCCUAAUACAUGCAAGUCGAGCGAACAGAUGAGGAGCUUGCUCCUCUGACAUUAGCGGCGGACGGGUGAGUAACACGUGGAUAACCUACCUAUAAGACUGGGAUAACUUCGGGAAACCGGAGCUAAUACCGGAUAAUAUAUUGAACCGCAUGGUUCAAUAGUGAAAGACGGUUUUGCUGUCACUUAUAGAUGGAUCCGCGCCGCACUAGCUAGUUGGUAAGGUAACGGCUUACCAAGGCAACGAUGCGUAGCCGACCUGAGAGGGUGAUCGGCCACACUGGAACUGAGACACGGUCCAGACUCCUACGGGAGGCAGCAGUAGGGAAUCUUCCGCAAUGGGCGAAAGCCUGACGGAGCAACGCCGCGUGAGUGAUGAAGGUCUUCGGAUCGUAAAACUCUGUUAUUAGGGAAGAACAAAUGUGUAAGUAACUAUGCACGUCUUGACGGUACCUAAUCAGAAAGCCACGGCUAACUACGUG
This 497-nucleotide ribosomal RNA is filed under the name uncultured bacterium. RNAcentral's name for it is "partial 16S ribosomal RNA". It matches the Rfam family "Bacterial small subunit ribosomal RNA", at positions 28 to 507 of the family's 1533-position model. The record is from RNAcentral.